CACCAUUGUGUGUUAUACUCAAUGGUUAACUUACUCACCAUUGCGUGUUAUACUCAAUGGUUAACUUACUCACCAUUGUGUGUUAUACUCAAUGGUUAACUUACUCACCAUUGUGUGUUAUACUCAAUGGUUAACUUACUCACCAUUGUGUGUUAUACUCAAUGGUUAACUUACUCACCAUUGUGUGUUAUACUCAAUGGUUAACUGGACAUCUUUAAGUGCUCGACGCCUCAGUCAUUGGUAUGUUUUCAUCUACAAAAGCAUUCUGGGUAUCACUCCAUCUUAUCUGUCUUGUCUUUUAACAAAGAAACAAGGAAGUCACAAUCUUCGUUCAAUGAAUGUUCUGCAAUUUGUCGUCCCCAAAGUAAGAACUGAACUGGGCAAGAAAGCAUUUAGGUUUUCAGCAGCGAAGGCUUGGAAUAACCUACAAUCCAAUCUUCAACUUCAAACCCUUGUUACGUUGAAUGAGUUUAGAGCUUCUGUGAAAGGAUUGCAGUCUACCUUGUCUGUAUGCACAUGUGUUAUGUCAGCAAGUUUUAAUGUCGUAAAUGUGAUGUUUUAUGUAUUUGUUUACUGUUUUUAAUGUAACCUUGCUGCUGCCCUCUUGGCCAGGUCUCCCUUGGAAAAGAGAUCUUUGAUCUCAAUGGGAUUUUACCUGGUUAAAUAAAGGCUAAUAAUAAUAAACAAGAAAAACUGAAUUUUACAUGACAAAUGUCACCAUUUUGCGUUAAACUAAUAAUUUUACAUGAAAAAGUCAUAAUUUUACAUGAAAAAGUCAUAUUUUGACAUGAAAAAGUUAUAAUUUCACAUGCAAAGUCAUAAUUUGACAUGAAAAAGUCAGAAUUUUACGAGAAAAACUUAGAAUGUUGGCAGUGUUGUAAUAAAAGUCGUCAUUUUACUCAACGCAAGUCCAAAUUUUUACAAGAAAAACUGAAUUUUACAUGACAAAUGUCACCAUUUUUCGUUAAACUAAUAAUUUUACAUGAAAAAGUCAUAAGUUUACAUGUAAAAGUCAUAAUUUUACAUGAAAAAGUCAUAAUUUUACAUAAAAAAAGUCAUAAUUUUACGAGAAAAACUUAGAAUGUUGGCAGUAUUAUAAUAAAAGUUGUCAUUUUACUCAACGCAAGUCCAAAUUUUUACAAGAAAAAACGGAACAUUUGUGCGAUAUUAUGAUAAAAGUUGGAAUUUUACUCAAUAACAGUCGCAAUUUUACAAGAAAAGCUUCAAAUUUUGGCAAUUUUAUGACAAGAGUGGUAAUUUUUCUCAACAAAAGUCACAAUUUUAUAAGAACACUUUAAAAUGUUGGCAACGUUAUAACAAUAAUGGGAAUUUUACUCGGCAAAAUGAUGACAGAAGUCAAUUAGAAAAAUCCCUCCUUUUUGGGACCGCCCUCAUUUUGACAGAUUUCACCACCAGGGGGUGCAAAUGAGACAUUUAUUGUUUAGUUUUUUGUAAUGUGCUUAAGGCCGAUGACAAAGGAGUCAGGGACCACAGAUGACAAAGGAGUCAGGGACCACAGAUGACAAAGGAGUCAGGGACCACAGAUGACAAAGGAGUCAGGGGCCACAGAGGACAAAGGAGUCAGGGACCACAGAUGACAAAGGAGUCAGGGACCACAGAUGACAAAGGAGUCAGGGACCACAGAUGACAAAGGAGUCAGGGGCCACAGAUGACAAAGGAGUCAGGGACCCCAGAUGACAAAGGAGUCAGGGACCACAGAUGACAAAGGAGUCAGGGACCACAGAUGACAAAGGAGUCAGGGACCACAGAUGACAAAGGAGUCAGGGACCACAGAUGACAAAGGAGUCAGGGACCACAGAUGACAAAGGAGUCAGGGGCCACAGAUGACAAAGGAGUCAGGGACCCCAGAUGACAAAGGAGUCAGGGACCACAGAUGACAAAGGAGUCAGGGACCACAGAUGACAAAGGAGUCAGUCAGGGACCACAGAUGACAAAGGAGUCAGGGACCACAGAUGACAAAGAGUCAGGGACCACAGAUGACAAAGGAGUCAGGGACCACAGAUGACAAAGGAGUCAGGGACCACAGAUGACAAAGGAGUCAGAGACCACAGAUGACAAAGGAGUCAGGGACCACAGAUGACAAAGGAGUCAGGGACCACAGAUGACAAAGGAGUCAGUCAGGGACCACAGAUGACAAAGGAGUCAGGGACCACAGAUGACAAAGGAGUCAGGGACCACAGAUGACAAAGGAGUCAGGGACCACAGAUGACAAAGGAGUCAGUCAGGGACCACAGAUGACAAAGGAGUCAGGGGGCCACAGAUGACAAAGGAGUCAGGGACCACAGAUGACAAAGGAGUCAGGCACCACAGAUGACAAAGGAGUCAGGGACCACAGAUGACAAAGGAGUCAGGGACCCCAGAUGACAAAGGAGUCAGGGACCACAGAUGACAAAGGAGUCAGGGACCACAGAUGACAAAGGAGUCAGGGACCACAGAUGACAAAGGAGUCAGGGACCACAGAUGGCUCCUGUGCCGCACUUUGGGCAACCCAGCUGUAGAAGCUAACUGUUAAUGGCCACUCUAGUCUUAGUACCAUAGUUCAUCCUAUGGUCACGUAUGGGACGCGGGUUGUCUUACGUCAGCACCGGACGUCGUAAAAUCAGCUGUUCACCUGGCGGGUUUUUUCGGGGACGAAUAGGGAAGUCCUUCUUUAGCUGCCGUCUCAAUUCAUCAUAUAUUGCUGCCUUUGCACCUGUCAAUGUUUACUUUUGUAUGCACAUUAAAUCAACUAAAAAUCCUGACUUUGGAGCAAUGUUCACGGACUCUAGUAUUUGUCUCUCUAUUAGAUGCAAUGGUUUUCCGUAUUGGGACCAUGAUUUAUGUCAUCACUUGUUCACACCUCCUCAUAUGGAAGCUACUUUUCCUUGUUGAUGUCUCAAGAAGGGUAGAACUACAAGAACACACCCCCUUACUAAGCAGUAGGGGUGUAACGCUACAUGAUGCAACAUUUGUAACUAGCAAACAUGAGGGCUAGCACGGACGGCUCAUUCUUUAUAAUAUAUGAAAACCUGCGGGCGCCAUUUUGAUAUUUUUCAUUUUCCAAAGCAUUAAGGGCUCCCCUCAAGUUUGGUGAUGAAAGGUCCCGGGGACCCAGACGGGUCUCGGUCAUUAAAGUCUUAAAAAUAUUUCAUAUAUUAUAUUUUUUUAUUUUUCUACUUUCAACAUUUGAAUAUCUAUUGAUCAAAUUUGGAUUUAUUUGUUGCCAUGACAUUUUUUUAUUUGUUUUAUUUACAGUAGGGAGGGGAUUCAUAUGGCUCCAUUCCUGGGUGGAUCUCGCGUGAGAGGAAGAGGGAUGCGGGAGAAUGUAGCCAAUUGUAGCGCUAUGCAAAUCCACCCUCCCCCUCAAGGCCCUGUAUCAGCCAGGAGGACACCACACAACACAACACAACACAACACAACACAACACAACACACACUCCAAGAGGAGAUGUCAUGUUUUAAUGCUGCUGGUGGACUUUCUUCUUCUGCAUCUAUUUACUCUUUCUACUUUGAAGCAAUGGAAUGCAAACAGUGAAGAAGAGCAGGAGAGCGACUCACAAGAAGGACUGCAGCCACAAUGAAUGAAUGAAUGAAUGAAUGCUACAGGAUGAGUCACCAUACUGGAGUGUUGCUAGGGGGAAAGCGGGAACCUGUAUUUUUGCAAUAAAGUUAUUACCGAUGCACCCCCACAGGGGGCAUAACCACCGUA
Molecule: long non-coding RNA, 3708 nt
Organism: Entelurus aequoreus (snake pipefish)
Lineage: Eukaryota; Metazoa; Chordata; Actinopteri; Syngnathiformes; Syngnathidae
Exons: 2
Source: RefSeq, a predicted model, not a curated record